Molecule: long non-coding RNA, 650 nt
Filed under: Pan troglodytes (chimpanzee)
Lineage: Eukaryota; Metazoa; Chordata; Mammalia; Primates; Hominidae
Description: long non-coding RNA NONPTRT016853
Source: RNAcentral
UCAAGAGCCAACACUUGCACCACCUCCUCCUGGAAGCUUAGAACCUUUCUCCAAACUAGGAUUAUUCCCUCCUAAGACCUCUCACAUCUUUUAGCUUGUGCCUUUUUUGCAGGUGCUUUGAUUCCACUUGUACUUCAACCAUCUGUGAGCUACUUCUAUUCUCUUUAGGAGACUGGCAACUUCCUAAAGGCAGAGGGGAGGAAACAGUGGAAACUCAGAGAUGCAGACAUUUGCCUAAGGAUAUACAGAAGAUAAGGAGCAGAGCUGACAUCAGAACUCAAGCUUGCAAAUGUGUAUGCGGGCCACCAUGCCACAUCUGCCACCUCUCUCACAGCACUGCUGGGGGAACAGGAGAAGCAUUGGAGGUGGCAGGCUUUGCCUUACUACACAUGGCAUAUGCAUUUUAAAUAAGGACUUUGAUCUGGAAGCAGGAGAGCAUAUUUAUUGCCUCAACUCAGCUUGAUUUGGGCUCUUCUGUCCCACAAAUGACACCAACCCUCACCGGCCUGAAGACCUUGCCUGAAAGAGAAAGAGCAGUGGCGUGAAGUCAGAAGAGCCACCCAGAGGUAGAUCCUGUUACUGUCAUCACGGCUACCUGAUCAGAAAACUGAAGUUCCAAACACAAGAACUGCAUUGCGAGUGGAUUUUCA